GAUGAACGCUGGCGGCGUGCUUAACACAUGCAAGUCGAACGGAAAGGCUCCUGCUUGCAGGGGUACUCGAGUGGCGAACGGGUGAGUAACACGUGGGUGAUCUGCCCUGCACUUCGGGAUAAGCCUGGGAAACUGGGUCUAAUACCGGAUAGGACGAUGGUUUGGAUGCCAUUGUGGAAAGUUUUUCGGUGUGGGAUGAGCUCGCGGCCUAUCAGCUUGUUGGUGGGGUAAUGGCCUACCAAGGCGUCGACGGGUAGCCGGCCUGAGAGGGAGUACGGCCACAUUGGGACUGAGAUACGGCCCAGGCUCCUACGGGAGGCAGCAGUGGGGAAUAUUGCACCAUGGGCGCAAGCCUGAUGCAGCGACGCCGCGUGGGGGAGGACGGCCUUCGGGUUGUAAACGCCUUUCGCUAGGGACGAAGCGUUUUGUGACGGUACCUGGAGAAGAAGCGCCGGCUAACUACGUG
RNAcentral lists this ribosomal RNA (466 nucleotides) under uncultured bacterium. Its description in RNAcentral is "partial 16S ribosomal RNA". It matches the Rfam family "Bacterial small subunit ribosomal RNA", at positions 28 to 507 of the family's 1533-position model. The record is from RNAcentral.